AUACGGAGGGUGCAAGCGUUACUCGGAAUCACUGGGCGUAAAGCGCGCGCAGGCGGCUAUUUAAGUUGGAUGUGAAAGCCUACGGCUCAACCGUAGAACUGCAUCCAAAACUAUUUAGCUAGAGUGUGGGAGAGGAAGAUGGAAUUAGUUGUGUAGGGGUAAAAUCCGUAGAGAUAACUAGGGAUACCAAAAGCGAAGGCAAUCUUCUGGAACACUUCUGACGCUGAGGCGCGAAAGCGUGGGGAGCAAACAGGAUUAGAUACCCUAGUAGUCC
Molecule: ribosomal RNA, 274 nt
Filed under: uncultured bacterium
Lineage: Bacteria
Description: partial 16S ribosomal RNA
Rfam family: Bacterial small subunit ribosomal RNA
Source: RNAcentral